UCCCUGGUGGUCUAGUGGUUAAGACUCCACACUCCCAAUGAAAGGGACCCGAGUUUGAUCCCUGGUCAGGGAA
This 73-nucleotide transfer RNA is filed under the name Bos taurus (domestic cattle). It matches the Rfam family "tRNA". From Rfam's summary of the family: Transfer RNA (tRNA) molecules are approximately 80 nucleotides in length. Their secondary structure includes four short double-helical elements and three loops (D, anti-codon, and T loops). Lineage: Eukaryota; Metazoa; Chordata; Mammalia; Artiodactyla; Bovidae. RNAcentral also lists the same sequence under 3 other names. The record is from Rfam by way of RNAcentral.